UACGAAGGGGGCUAGCGUUGUUCGGAUUUACUGGGCGUAAAGAGCGCGCAGGCGGUCGUUCAAGUCGAGUGUGAAAGCCCCCGGCUCAACUGGGGAGGGUCACUCGAUACUGAUCGACUCGAAGGCAGGAGAGGGAAGUGGAAUUCCCGGUGUAGUGGUGAAAUGCGUAGAUAUCGGGAGGAACACCGGUGGCGAAGGCGGUUCUCUGGGCCUGUACUGACGCUGAGGAGCGAAAGCGUGGGGAGCGAACAGG
Molecule: ribosomal RNA, 253 nt
Filed under: uncultured bacterium
Lineage: Bacteria
Description: partial 16S ribosomal RNA
Rfam family: Bacterial small subunit ribosomal RNA
Source: RNAcentral